UGAGGAAUAUUGGUCAAUGGACGCAAGUCUGAACCAGCCACGUCGCGUGAAGGAAGACGGCCCUACGGGUUGUAAACUUCUUUUGUAGGGGAAUAAAGUGUGGUACGUGUACUAUUUUGCAUGUACCUUACGAAUAAGGAUCGGCUAACUCCGUGCCAGCAGCCGCGGUA
This 170-nucleotide ribosomal RNA is filed under the name uncultured Bacteroidota bacterium. Its description in RNAcentral is "uncultured Bacteroidetes bacterium partial 16S ribosomal RNA". It matches the Rfam family "Bacterial small subunit ribosomal RNA", at positions 355 to 522 of the family's 1533-position model. The record is from RNAcentral. Lineage: Bacteria; Pseudomonadati; Bacteroidota.